This 202-nucleotide long non-coding RNA is filed under the name Brassica napus (rape). Its description in RNAcentral is "long non-coding RNA (BNAP_LNC008748)". The record is from RNAcentral. Lineage: Eukaryota; Viridiplantae; Streptophyta; Magnoliopsida; Brassicales; Brassicaceae.
UUUUUUUUUUUUUGGUAAAAUGUUAAAUUAUUAUACCAAAUUUUCAAGUUUUUGACAGCGGUUAUAGAGAAACUAGUAGCAGAAAACAGAAACAAAACUAAACAACAACUGGAAAUUAAGUAACAAUGAAAAGAACCCAAGCAGAGAAGCUAGUCUAGCAACCAGCUAAACAGCAGAGAAUGCUGAGACCAAACAAACUGGA